AGCAGCCGCGGUAAUUCCAGCUCCAAUAGCGUAUAUUAAAGUUGUUGCAGUUAAAAAGCUCGUAGUUGAAUUUCGGGGUUAGUAGGUUGGUCAUGCCUCUGGUAUGUACUGGUCUCACUGAUUCCUCCUUCCUGAUGAGCCGUAAUGCCAUUAAUUUGGUGUUGCGGGGAAUUUGGACUGUUACUUUGAAAAAAUUAGUGUGUUUAAAGCAAGCUAACGCUUGAAUACAUUAGCAUGGAAUAAUGAAAUAGGACGUUCGAUCCUAUUUUGUUGGUUUCUAGGAUUGACGUAAUGAUUAAUAGGGAUAGUUGGGGGCAUUAGUAUUCAAUUGUCAGAGGUGAAAUUCUUGGAUUUAUUGAAGACUAACUACUGCGAAAGCAUUUGCCAAGGAUGUUUUCAUUAAUCAAGAACGAAAGUUAGGGGAUCGAAGACGAUCAGAUACCGUCGUAGUCUUAACCAUAAACUAUGCCGACUAGGGAUCGGAUGAUGUUAAUUUUUUAAUGACUCA
This 508-nucleotide ribosomal RNA is filed under the name Glomus sp. MO-G3. RNAcentral describes it as "SSU rRNA". It matches the Rfam family "Eukaryotic small subunit ribosomal RNA", at positions 569 to 1078 of the family's 1831-position model. The record is from RNAcentral. Lineage: Eukaryota; Fungi; Glomeromycota; Glomeromycetes; Glomerales; Glomeraceae.